UAUAGCCAUGAGCCAGGAGAGAGGAUGAAGCAAGACUUUCUAUAUCUGCACCAUGGCUGACAGCCAUUCUUUUGUGUUCUUCCUACAUUAAAGAUGAAAGCUACUGCUAUGUUCAUGAGAAAAAAAAGAUUAAAAAUUACCACAUUUAGCAUGUAUAAGUAUUGAGAGGUUCCACUGAGGCUACAGUUAGAAAAGAAAAGCAAAAUAAUUUGAAGAUUCCCAAAUUAUCACUAGUUUAAAAGUAGUCAUGAAAACUGGUUUGAAAGAUAGCAAAAAUGCUUUUAAAAGCAUCCCCUAAAUCCAUAGCUAAGUAUCAGGUUGACUCCACGGGACUGCAACUUUUAAGUUGACAAUAAGACACAAAGCUCUCUCGAUAAUUCUAGCUUAUGUCUCAUAGACACUUGUGAACAGUCUUUGAAAGUUUUUCUGUGGCCUGUAACAGCUUUUGUUUCUUAGGACACUUGGUAUCAUAAGUAUAGAUAUGGUCAUUAAAUGUUAAUAAUGAUACCUCAUAUUUAUAUGACAGCUUUCAUCCAAGGACCUCAAAGAACUGAGCACGCAUUAACUCACUAAUUCCCAUAGAGCCAUGAGGUAAGAGUUAUUAUAUCCAUUUUACUGAUGAAGGAGCUGAGGCACAGAGAACCUAAAUAAAUUAAUUUGCUCAAGGUCACAUGGGAUGUUAAAAUUUUAACGAAGAAUAGGUCUAGUUCUCAUGUUCUCUGUUAAUGUUUGUCUGAAAAGUUAUCUACUUGUUUUCAGAGGUUUGUUGGGGGGGUUUCUCCCCUCCUCUAUUUCCUCCUAGUGAGUUGUGCUAAGUAAGCAAUUAUGAAAAGGGAAACUUUUCAAAGCUUAAAAGCAAAUUUCUGGAGUUCCCUAGUGGCUCAGUGGUAACAAACCCAACUAGGAUCCAUGAGGAUGUGGGUUUGAUCCCUGGCUUCACUCAGUGGGUUAAGGAUCCGGCGUUGCUCUGAGCUGUGGUGUAGAUCGCAGAUGCAGCUCAGAUAUGGUUUUGCUGUGGCUGUAGCGCCAUGUUGGCAACCUACACCACAGUUCACGGCAAUGCUGGAUCCUUAAUCCACCAAGCAAGGUCAGGGAUAGAACCUGCAACCUCAUGGUUCCUAGUUGGAUUCAUUAACCACUGAGCCACGACGGGAACUCUGGUUCUGAAUUUCUUUUUAUAUUGAACUGAUGCCUGACCUCAAGGUCUUAGUCUUGCCCUCUGGUGUGAUACAGAACAAGCCUAAUCCCU
This 1249-nucleotide long non-coding RNA is filed under the name Sus scrofa (pig). RNAcentral describes it as "lncRNA (ENSSSCG00040074567.1)". Lineage: Eukaryota; Metazoa; Chordata; Mammalia; Artiodactyla; Suidae. The record is from RNAcentral.